Molecule: ribosomal RNA, 341 nt
Filed under: Escherichia coli
Lineage: Bacteria; Pseudomonadati; Pseudomonadota; Gammaproteobacteria; Enterobacterales; Enterobacteriaceae
Also listed under: 3 other names
Description: bacterial SSU rRNA
Rfam family: Bacterial small subunit ribosomal RNA
Source: RNAcentral
CGACCAGGGCUACACACGUGCUACAAUGGCGCAUACAAAGAGAAGCGACCUCGCGAGAGCAAGCGGACCUCAUAAAGUGCGUCGUAGUCCGGAUUGGAGUCUGCAACUCGACUCCAUGAAGUCGGAAUCGCUAGUAAUCGUGGAUCAGAAUGCCACGGUGAAUACGUUCCCGGGCCUUGUACACACCGCCCGUCACACCAUGGGAGUGGGUUGCAAAAGAAGUAGGUAGCUUAACCUUCGGGAGGGCGCUUACCACUUUGUGAUUCAUGACUGGGGUGAAGUCGUAACAAGGUAACCGUAGGGGAACCUGCGGUUGGAUCACCUCCUUACCUUAAAGAAGC